UACGUAGGGUGCGAGCGUUGCCCGGAUUUAUUGGGCGUAAAGGGCGCGUAGGCGGCUCGGCACGUCCGUUGUGAAAUCGCCCGGCUCAACUGGGCGGGGUCAGCGGAUACGGUCGAGCUUGAGCAAGCUAGGGGGUAAUGGAAUUCCCGGUGUAGUGGUGGAAUGCGUAGAUAUCGGGAGGAACACCAGUGGCGAAGGCGGUUACCUGGGGCUUUGCUGACGCUGAUGCGCGAAAGCGUGGGGAGCGAUCCAG
Molecule: ribosomal RNA, 253 nt
Filed under: uncultured bacterium
Lineage: Bacteria
Description: partial 16S ribosomal RNA
Rfam family: Bacterial small subunit ribosomal RNA
Source: RNAcentral